Scylla paramamosain (green mud crab) is the source of this 699-nucleotide long non-coding RNA. RefSeq lists it as uncharacterized. The transcript is spliced from 3 exons. NCBI's taxonomy places the organism in Eukaryota, Metazoa, Arthropoda, Malacostraca, Decapoda, Portunidae. The record is from RefSeq and is a predicted model, not a curated record.
AAAAUAACUCUGCUUUCUCAUCUCCACUCGUUACGUCAGCGCCACGCCGCAGCCGCCACCACUAUAUAAGCGGACCGAGAGGCAGGGCAGCCACCAGUCCCCGACGCACCUCAGCCCCAGACAUGGCCCUCAAGCUCGUCCUCCUGUCCGCCCUCGUGGCCGUCGCCCUUGCUGAGAGGGCUCCCUACAGGCCACCCCCACCCCCUCCCCCUCCCACCUACAGCGCCCCCGCCCCAUCCUACCGCCCCCCCGCGCCAUCCUACAGCGCACCCCAGCCAGUGAGUCCCCCCCAAGUAUGACUUCAGCUGGAACGUCAAGGACGACCUUUCCGGCAACGACUACGGCCACCAGGAGGGCCGCGACGGCUACGACACCCAGGGAUCCUACUACGUGCAGCUGCCUGACGGCCGUCUGCAGGAGGUCACCUACACCGUCAACGGCGAUUCAGGCUUCGUGGCCCAGGUCAACUACCAGGGCGAGGCACAGUACCCAACACAGCAGGGCUACGGCUCCGCCCCGUCCUACCAGGCCCCCGCCCCGUCCUACCAGGCCCCCGCCCCGUCCUACCAGCAGCCCCGCCCGUCCUACGGGUAAUGCUGCACCCUCGUGACGGCCAAGUCUUUCUGUCUUUGUAAAUACUCCCUUGUACCACUACGUGCCUGCUUCCCGCAAAGCAAUAAACGAAUGUGAUAAAAAAAA